This 616-nucleotide ribosomal RNA is filed under the name Calothrix sp. 9-SKD-2014. Its description in RNAcentral is "bacterial SSU rRNA". It matches the Rfam family "Bacterial small subunit ribosomal RNA", at positions 122 to 770 of the family's 1533-position model. Lineage: Bacteria; Bacillati; Cyanobacteriota; Cyanophyceae; Nostocales; Calotrichaceae. The record is from RNAcentral.
GAAUCUGGCUCUAGGUCGGGGACAACCACUGGAAACGGUGGCUAAUACCGGAUGUGCCGAGAGGUGAAAGAUUAAUUGCCUAGAGAUGAGCUCGCGUCUGAUUAGCUAGUAGGUGUGGUAAGAGCGCACCAAGGCGACGAUCAGUAGCUGGUCUGAGAGGAUGAUCAGCCACACUGGGACUGAGACACGGCCCAGACUCCUACGGGAGGCAGCAGUGGGGAAUUUUCCGCAAUGGGCGAAAGCCUGACGGAGCAAUACCGCGUGAGGGAGGAAGGCUCUUGGGUUGUAAACCUCUUUUCUCAAGGAAGAACAAAAUGACGGUACUUGAGGAAUAAGCAUCGGCUAACUCCGUGCCAGCAGCCGCGGUAAUACGGAGGAUGCAAGCGUUAUCCGGAAUGAUUGGGCGUAAAGCGUCCGCAGGUGGCUAUGUAAGUCUGCUGUUAAAGAGUGAGGCUCAACCUCAUAAGAGCAGUGGAAACUACAUGGCUAGAGUGCGUUCGGGGCAGAGGGAAUUCCUGGUGUAGCGGUGAAAUGCGUAGAGAUCAGGAAGAACACCGGUGGCGAAAGCGCUCUGCUAGGCCGCAACUGACACUGAGGGACGAAAGCUAGGGGAGCG